Molecule: transfer RNA, 72 nt
Filed under: Trichonephila clavata
Lineage: Eukaryota; Metazoa; Arthropoda; Arachnida; Araneae; Nephilidae
Rfam family: tRNA
About the family: Transfer RNA (tRNA) molecules are approximately 80 nucleotides in length. Their secondary structure includes four short double-helical elements and three loops (D, anti-codon, and T loops). Further hydrogen bonds mediate the characteristic L-shaped molecular structure. tRNAs have two regions of fundamental functional importance: the anti-codon, which is responsible for specific mRNA codon recognition, and the 3' end, to which the tRNAs corresponding amino acid is attached (by aminoacyl-tRNA synthetases). tRNAs cope with the degeneracy of the genetic code in two manners: having more than one tRNA (with a specific anti-codon) for a particular amino acid; and 'wobble' base-pairing, i.e. permitting non-standard base-pairing at the 3rd anti-codon position.
Source: Rfam by way of RNAcentral
GGGGGCGUAGCUCAGAUGGUAGAGCGGUCGCUUAGCAUGCGAGAGGUACGGGGUUCGAUACCCGCGUCUCCA